UGGCGGCGUGCUUACACAUGCAAGUCGAACGAUGAAACCUAGCUUGCUAGGUGGAUUAGUGGCGCACGGGUGAGUAAUAUAUAGAUAAUCUGCCUCUUAGUCUGGGAUAGCCAUUGGAAACGAUGAUUAAUACUAGAUACUCCUUCUCUUUAUAAUAAGAGUUGGGAAAGGAACAUCUUUAUGGUGUUUCGCUAAGAGAUGAGUCUAUAUCCCAUCAGGUAGUUGGUAGUGUAAGAGACUACCAAGCCUAUGACGGGUAGCGGGUUUGAGAGGAUGAUCCGCCACACUGGUACUGAGACACGGACCAGACUCCUACGGGAGGCAGCAGUGAGGAAUAUUGCACAAUGGAGGAAACUCUGAUGCAGCAACGCCGCGUGGAGGAUGACGCAUUUCGGUGUGUAAACUCCUUUUAUAUGUCAAGAAAAUGACGGUAGCAUAUGAAUAAGCACCGGCUAACUCCGUGCCAGCAGCCGCGGUAAUACGGAGGGUGCAAGCGUUAUUCGGAAUCACUGGGCGUAAAGGACACGUAGGCGGGAAGCCAAGUCUGAUGUGAAAUCCUACAGCUUAACUGUAGAACUGCAUUGGAAACUGGUUACCUAGAGUAUGGGAGGGGGGAGAUGGAAUUAGUGGUGUAGGGGUAAAAUCCGUAGAUAUCACUAGGAAUACCUAAAGCGAAGGCGAUCUCCUGGAACAUUACUGACGCUAAGGUGUGAAAGCGUGGGGAGCAAACGGGAUUAGAUACCCCGGUAGUCCACGCCCUAAACGAUGUUCACUAGUCGUCGGGAUGCUAGUCAUCUCGGUGAUGCACUUAACAGAUUAAGUGAACCGCCUGGGGAGUACGGU
Molecule: ribosomal RNA, 843 nt
Filed under: uncultured bacterium
Lineage: Bacteria
Description: bacterial SSU rRNA
Rfam family: Bacterial small subunit ribosomal RNA
Source: RNAcentral